GACGAACGCUGGCGGCGUGCUUAACACAUGCAAGUCGAACGGAAAGGCCCUGCUUUUGUGGGGUGCUCGAGUGGCGAACGGGUGAGUAACCCGUGAGUAACCUGCCCUUGACUUUGGGAUAACUUCAGGAAACUGGGGCUAAUACCGGAUAGGAGCUCCUGCUGCAGGGUGGGGGUUGGAAAGUUUCGGCGGUUGGGGAUGGACUCGCGGCUUAUCAGCUUGUUGGUGGGGUAGUGGCUUACCAAGGCUUUGACGGGUAGCCGGCCUGAGAGGGUGACCGGCCACAUUGGGACUGAGAUACGGACCAGACUCCUACGGGAGGCAGCAGUGGGGAAUAUUGCACAAUGGGCGGAAGCCUGAUGCAGCAACGCCGCGUGCGGGAUGACGGCCUUCGGGUUGUAAACCGCUUUCGCCUGUGACGAAGCGUGAGUGACGGUAAUGGGUAAAGAAGCACCGGCUAACUACGUG
RNAcentral lists this ribosomal RNA (468 nucleotides) under uncultured bacterium. RNAcentral's name for it is "partial 16S ribosomal RNA". It matches the Rfam family "Bacterial small subunit ribosomal RNA", at positions 28 to 507 of the family's 1533-position model. The record is from RNAcentral.